UAGUGGCAGACGGGUGAGUAAUGUAUAGGAAUCUACCUAGUAGUACGGAAUAAUUGUUGGAAACGGCAACUAAUACCGUAUACGCCCUACGGGGGAAAAAUUUAUUGCUAUUAGAUGAGCCUAUAUUAGAUUAGCUAGUUGGUGGAGUAAUAGCCUACCAAGGCAAUGAUCUAUAGCUGAUCUGAGAGGAUGAUCAGCCACACUGGAACUGAGAUACGGUCCAGACUCCUACGGGAGGCAGCAGUGGGGAAUAUUGGACAAUGGGCGAAAGCCUGAUCCAGCCAUGCCGCAUGAGUGAAGAAGGCCUUUGGGUUGUAAAGCUCUUUUAGUGAGGAAGAUAAUGACGGUACUCACAGAAGAAGUCCUGGCUAACUCCGUGCCAGCAGCCGCGGUAAUACGGAGAGGGCUAGCGUUAUUCGGAAUCAUUGGGCGUAAAGGGCGCGUAGGCGGAUUAGUAAGUUAAAAGUGAAAUCCCAAGGCUCAACCUUGGAAUUGCUUUUAAAACUGCUAGUCUAGAGAUUGAAAGAGGAUAGAGGAAUUCCUAGUGUAGAGGUGAAAUUCGUAAAUAUUAGGAGGAACACCAGUGGCGAAGGCGUCUAUCUGGUUCAAAUCUGACGCUGAGGCGCGAAGGCGUGGGGAGCAAACAGGAUUAGAUACCCUGGUAGUCCACGCUGUAAACGAUGAAUGUUAAAUAUGGGAAGUUUACUUUCUGUAUUACAGCUAACGCGUUAAACAUUCCGCCUGGGGACUACGGUCGCAAGAUUAAAACUCAAAGGAAUUGACGGGGACCCGCACAAGCGGUGGAGCAUGUGGUUUAAUUCGAUGCAACGCGAAAAACCUUACCACUCCUUG
This 852-nucleotide ribosomal RNA is filed under the name Wolbachia endosymbiont of Agelasa nigriceps. RNAcentral's name for it is "bacterial SSU rRNA". It matches the Rfam family "Bacterial small subunit ribosomal RNA", at positions 93 to 983 of the family's 1533-position model. Lineage: Bacteria; Pseudomonadati; Pseudomonadota; Alphaproteobacteria; Rickettsiales; Anaplasmataceae. The record is from RNAcentral.